Molecule: ribosomal RNA, 289 nt
Filed under: uncultured bacterium
Lineage: Bacteria
Description: partial 16S ribosomal RNA
Rfam family: Bacterial small subunit ribosomal RNA
Source: RNAcentral
GUGGAUUAGAUACCCCGGUAGUCCACGCCGUAAACGAUGAUCACUUGGUGUUGCAGGUAUUGACCCCUGCAGUGCCGAAGCUAACGCGUUAAGUGAUCCGCCUGGGAAGUACGGUCGCAAGAUUAAAACUCAAAGAAAUUGACGGGGGCCCGCACAAGCGGUGGAGCAUGUGGUUCAAUUCGAUGCAACGCGAAAAACCUUACCUGGGUUUGAAGUGCUAGUGAAUACGGUAGAGAUAUCGUAGGCCUUCGGGACACUAGUAUCAGGUGCUGCACGGCUGUCGCCAACU